GCCACCAUGUCCCUCUGGGAGGGGACGCUCCAGGGCAAGAGCUCCAGCGGCAUCUUCUUCCACGUGGUGACCCCCGACCGCAUCCCGCAGUUCACCAUCCCCUCCCUGGACGUCCACGGGAAGCACAGGGGCUCAGGGAAGGGGAUGGGGCAGCUGGAGGGGACGGCGUGGAGGAGCAGCUCGGACCCAGCGGGGCGGGAGGAGCUGCCGGGCUCCGACUCCUCCGGCCCCAACUCCUCCUGCUCUGACCCCCCUGCCCAGCCGAGCCCAGACCCCACUGCCUGGGCAGCUCUGUCCCUGCCCCACCUCCCCCAGGUCACCACCCCCUACGGCUUUGUCACCCUGGGGCAGAGCCCGCAGGUCACCAGGGAGGAGGCGUUUUUUCACUCGGGCUCGGGCCACCCUCGAGGUCCUGCUGCCGAGACGCGUCCCGGCUGGCAGGAGGAGCCGGGAUGCUGCAGACCCCCCGGGAUGGCUGUUGCCGAGGGAGAUUCCCAGAGGGAUGGAGGCCAGAGGGGCCACAAGCAGCCGAGUCCUCGUGCCACCGCUCUCAAGGAUGGCAGAGCCAGCCCAGCCUUCGGGACCUCAGCAGGGCUUCCCCUGCCCGGGAGAUGUGCCAGCCCCGUCAGAGACAUCCAAAGAACAGACGUUCUGGAGAGCAAAGAGGAGGAGAAGAGGGAGAAGAGGCUCCUGGGGGUGUUUUACCAGAGGAGCAGCUCCAGCCUGGAGCUCCCCGCUGUGACAGGCAGGAAAAACUUGUUCCAGAGGAUCCUCAGGAGGCGCCUUGUCCAGCCCCGGCAGCUCAAGCCCGUGGAUUUCACUCUCCACUGAUCUUGCAAAGAGAAACAGAGGUUCCCCAAAGACCUGGGGAAGAGAGACUUCUGUAAGUGCCUCAGCCUGCAGGGCAGCCAGGCUGGGACAGGAGGGUGAGGGUGUCACUUCACCUGGAGGGGAAGCCUUGAAGUGACAUUGCCCUUGGCUGAGGAGGGACAUCCGAGGGGCAGGAGGGGCAGCAGUGCUGGGGAGCAGAGGGGCUGCGGGUUUGUGACUGUUCAGAGCCUGAAUAAAAGCGAGAACAUUUCACCCA
Long non-coding RNA from Manacus vitellinus (golden-collared manakin), 1087 nucleotides. NCBI's taxonomy places the organism in Eukaryota, Metazoa, Chordata, Aves, Passeriformes, Pipridae. The record is from Ensembl.